RNAcentral lists this ribosomal RNA (492 nucleotides) under uncultured bacterium. RNAcentral's name for it is "partial 16S ribosomal RNA". It matches the Rfam family "Bacterial small subunit ribosomal RNA", at positions 29 to 507 of the family's 1533-position model. The record is from RNAcentral.
AGUGAACGCUGGCGGUAGGCCUAACACAUGCAAGUCGAACGGCAGCACAGUAAGAGCUUGCUCUUACAGGUGGCGAGUGGCGGACGGGUGAGGAAUACAUCGGAAUCUACUUUUUCGUGGGGGAUAACGUAGGGAACCUUACGCUAAUACCGCAUACGACCUACGGGUGAAAGCAGGGGAUCUUCGGACCUUGCGCGAUUGAAUGAGCCGAUGUCGGAUUAGCUAGUUGGCGGGGUAAAGGCCCACCAAGGCGACGAUCCGUAGCUGGUCUGAGAGGAUGAUCAGCCACACUGGAACUGAGACACGGUCCAGACUCCUACGGGAGGCAGCAGUGGGGAAUAUUGGACAAUGGGCGCAAGCCUGAUCCAGCCAUACCGCGUGGGUGAAGAAGGCCUUCGGGUUGUAAAGCCCUUUUGUUGGGAAAGAAAAGCAGCAGGUUAAUACCCCGCUGUUCUGACGGUACCCAAAGAAUAAGCACCGGCUAACUUCGUG